ACGUUGUCGGAUAUUGGGCGUAAGGGCUCGCAGGCGGUUUCUUAAGUCUGAUGUGAAAGCCCCCGGCUCAACCGGGGAGGGUCAUUGGAAACUGGGGAACUUGAGUGCAGAAGAGGAGAGUGGAAUUCCACGUGUAGCGGUGAAAUGCGUAGAGAUGUGGAGGAACACCAGUGGCGAAGGCGACUCUCUGGUCUGUAACUGACGCUGAGGAGCGAAAGCGUGGGGAGCGAACAGGAUUAGAUACCCUGGUAGUCCACGCCGUAAACGAUGAGUGCUAAGUGUUAGGGGGUUUCCGCCCCUUAGUGCUGCAGCUAACGCAUUAAGCACUCCGCCUGGGGAGUACGGUCGCAAGACUGAAACUCAAAGGAAUUGACGGGGGCCCGCACAAGCGGUGGAGCAUGUGGUUUAAUUCGAAGCAACGCGAAGAACCUUACCAGGUCUUGACAUCCUCUGACAAUCCUAGAGAUAGGACGUCCCCUUCGGGGGCAGAGUGACAGGUGGUGCAUGGUUGUCGUCAGCUCGUGUCGUGAGAUGUUGGGUUAAGUCCCGCAACGAGCGCAACCCUUGAUCUUAGUUGCCAGCAUUCAGUUGGGCACUCUAAGGUGACUGCCGGUGACAAACCGGAGGAAGGUGGGGAUGACGUCAAAUCAUCAUGCCCCUUAUGACCUGGGCUACACACGUGCUACAAUGGACAGAACAAAGGGCAGCGAAACCGCGAGGUUAAGCCAAUCCCACAAAUCUGUUCUCAGUUCGGAUCGCAGUCUGCAACUCGACUGCGUGAAGCUGGAAUCGCUAGUAAUCGCGGAUCAGCAUGCCGCGGUGGAAUACGUUCCNCGGGCCUUGUACACACCGCCCGUCACACCACGAGAGUUUGUAACACCCGAAGUCGGUGAGGUAACCUUUUUAGGAGCCAGCCGCCGAAGGUGGGACAGAUGAUUGGGGGUGAAGUCGUACAGGGGGAAACCGUAAAA
This 971-nucleotide ribosomal RNA is filed under the name Bacillus subtilis. RNAcentral's name for it is "bacterial SSU rRNA". It matches the Rfam family "Bacterial small subunit ribosomal RNA", at positions 538 to 1533 of the family's 1533-position model. Lineage: Bacteria; Bacillati; Bacillota; Bacilli; Caryophanales; Bacillaceae. The record is from RNAcentral.